RNAcentral lists this ribosomal RNA (327 nucleotides) under uncultured eukaryote. Its description in RNAcentral is "partial 18S ribosomal RNA". It matches the Rfam family "Eukaryotic small subunit ribosomal RNA", at positions 1470 to 1796 of the family's 1831-position model. The record is from RNAcentral.
CCCUUAGAUGUUCUGGGCCGCACACGCGCUACACUGAAGGAGGCAGCGUGUACUCCUGGAUCGAAAGAUUUGGGUAACCCGCGAAUCUCCUUCGUGCUAGGGAUUGAGGUUUGCAACUAUCCUUCAUGAACGAGGAAUUCCCAGUAAGUGCAAGUCAUAAGCUUGCGCUGACUACGUCCCUGCCCUUUGUACACACCGCCCGUCGCUACUACCGAUUGAAUGAUUUAGUGAGGACUUCGGACUGGGACCGAUGCGGCUUUCGGGCUGCGUCGGUAUUCUGGAAAGAUGUCCAAACUGUAUCAUUUAGAGGAAGUAAAAGUCGUAACA